AGUGAACGCUGGCGGUAGGCCUAACACAUGCAAGUCGAACGGCAGCACAGUAAGAGCUUGCUCUUACGGGUGGCGAGUGGCGGACGGGUGAGGAAUACAUCGGAAUCUACUUUUUCGUGGGGGAUAACGUAGGGAAACUUACGCUAAUACCGCAUACGACCUACUGGUGAAAGCAGGGGAUCUUCGGCCCUUGCGCGAUUGAAUGAGCCGAUGUCGGAUUAGCUAGUUGGCGGGGUAAAGGCCCACCAAGGCGACGAUCCGUAGCUGGUCUGAGAGGAUGAUCAGCCACACUGGAACUGAGACACGGUCCAGACUCCUACGGGAGGCAGCAGUGGGGAAUAGUGGACAAUGGGCGCAAGCCUGAUCCAGCCAUACCGCGUGGGUGAAGAAGGCCUUCGGGUUGUAAAACCCUUUUGUUGGGAAAGAAAAGCAGCAGGUUAAUACCCCGCUGUUCUGACGGUACCCAAAGAAUAAGCACCGGCUAACUUCGUG
RNAcentral lists this ribosomal RNA (492 nucleotides) under uncultured bacterium. RNAcentral describes it as "partial 16S ribosomal RNA". It matches the Rfam family "Bacterial small subunit ribosomal RNA", at positions 29 to 507 of the family's 1533-position model. The record is from RNAcentral.